UGGGGAAUUUUGGACAAUGGGGGAAACCCUGAUCCAGCCAUCCCGCGUGUGCGAUGAAGGCCUUCGGGUUGUAAAGCACUUUUGGCAGGAAAGAAACGUCGCGGGUUAAUACCCCGCGAAACUGACGGUACCUGCAGAAUAAGCACCGGCUAACUACGUGCCAGCAGCCGCGGUAAUACGUAGGGUGCAAGCGUUAAUCGGAAUUACUGGGCGUAAAGCGUGCGCAGGCGGUUCGGAAAGGAAGAUGUGAAAUCCCAGAGCUUAACUUUGGAACUGCAUUUUUAACUACCGGGCUAGAGUGUGUCAGAGGGAGGUGGAAUUCCGCGUGUAGCAGUGAAAUGCGUAGAUAUGCGGAGGAACACCGAUGGCGAAGGCAGCCUCCUGGGAUAACACUGACGCUCAUGCACGAAAGCGUGGGGAGCAAACAGGAUUAGAUACCCUGGUAGUCCACGCCCUAAACGAUGUCAACUAGCUGUUGGGGCCUUCGGGCCUUGGUAGCGCAGCUAACGCGUGAAGUUGACCGCCUGGGGAGUACGGUCGCAAGAUUAAAACUCAAAUGAAUUGAC
RNAcentral lists this ribosomal RNA (566 nucleotides) under uncultured bacterium. RNAcentral describes it as "partial 16S ribosomal RNA". It matches the Rfam family "Bacterial small subunit ribosomal RNA", at positions 355 to 914 of the family's 1533-position model. The record is from RNAcentral.